Molecule: long non-coding RNA, 1232 nt
Filed under: Homo sapiens (human)
Lineage: Eukaryota; Metazoa; Chordata; Mammalia; Primates; Hominidae
Description: non-protein coding lnc-MED26-4:1
Source: RNAcentral
CCCUGGGGCUUCCGCUUCCGGUUCUGACGGACGCUUCGGCCGUAACGAUGAUCGGAGACAUCCUGCUGUUCGGGAAAAAGAAGGACACGCAGGGCUUUGGGGAGGAGUCCAGGGAGCCCAGCACAGGCUGUUCGGCUCUUGAAUCCCAGCGAUGAAACCAGGAACUCACUUUCCCGGGAUGCCGAGUCUCCAUUCCUCCAUUCCUGAUGACUUCAAGAAUGUUUUUGACCAGAAAACCGACAACCUUCCCAGAAAGUCCAAGCUCGUGGUGGGUGGAAAAGUGUUCGCCGAGGUGUGCAUGGUUUCCCAGCCACGUCCCUGUUUUCAAAGAUAGUUUCACUUUGGUCUCUGAAUUGAAAUGCUGUCUACUGAAAGGGUUUCAGGAGCGUUUAUGUAAGGGGCUGUGAUGAAAUUGCAUUCCCCAUAGAUAAAAGAAAAAUCAUUUCUAUCCAGAGAUCUGAGCAGAAGGAUUGGCUUGUUAGUUUAACACAGCCGUAUUUUUGGACAUUCAGUGUUACUUGCUGAGUCUGACAGCCUCUGGGCCCGGCCAGGGGCCCUGUUAACAAACUGCUUUCACAUCCCAACAGGGUCUGCUUGGCCACUCAGUGCAGCUGCGAUUAACCCUAAAGGCUUUAAGGAACGGGCCACCUGUAACAGAGACACCAGCCUUCCUGUAUAGACACUAAAUUGUUAGCAAGAGUGUUGAGCUAGUUCCUGGUGAAGUGUUUCCACAGAAGACAUGUGGAGCAGUUGUGGGGAUAUUAAGGGAAACUUUCCUCUGCCUUGACCCCUUUGUUAAAUAAAAUGACUUUGGGAGCCAUUCAUUGUACAGUUGCAGGAAUGAGAGUGAUUUUAUGAUGUGGUACAUUGGGACCAUGUUCUAAAACCUUGGGUUUCUGAGUCUGCUUUUUGAGUAGGUGAUUUUGAGGUUGAAAAACCAGGGGCCUUCAUCUAGGAAAUACAGCAUUUUCCAGAAGCUUCUUUGAAAGGGAAUCCUGGUUUUGUUGCCAAAAUGAAACGCCCGGGGUUGGCGCUGAAUCCCACAACUGUGUGAUUUGCUUGUUGAGUUUUUUGUUGUCUGGUUUUUUUGUUUGUUUGUUUAUACCAAUAAGAAUGAGCCUGAAUGUUGGUGGUUUUUGAAAUCCUGACUUGGAGGUAAACCUGGAGGAAGGAAAAAAAGUAAAUAUGCAGGCUUUUAGGACUGAGUAGCCUUGAAAAUAAACCUCAUUUCU